GGGAGCUAAGUGGGGAAAUAAGUGAACCUCUGUAUUUAAUUUUUUAAGAUUCUUUUGUUUCAGGUAUUGUACCGGAGGAUUGGAAGAAGGCAGAUGUUGUUCCUAUAUUUAAAAAGGGUUCAAAAUCCUUGCCUGGAAAUUAUAGACCUGUGAGCUUAACUUCUGUAACUGGGAAAAUAUUUAAAGGGCUAUUAAGGGAUAAUAUUCAGGAAUUCAUUGGGAAGAACUUUGUUAUUAGCAAUAAUCAGCAUGGUUUUAUGAAACAUAGGUCAUGUCAAACUAACCUAAUUGCAUUCUACGAAGAAGUAAGUAGAAGUAUAGAUCAG
Molecule: long non-coding RNA, 326 nt
Filed under: Pelobates cultripes (western spadefoot toad)
Lineage: Eukaryota; Metazoa; Chordata; Amphibia; Anura; Pelobatidae
Source: RNAcentral